CCUACGGGAGGCAGCAGUGGGGAAUAUUGCACAAUGGGGGAAACCCUGAUGCAGCGACGCCGCGUGAGUGAAGAAGUAUUUCGGUACGUAAAGCUCUAUCAGCAGGGAAGAAAAUGACGGUACCUGACUAAGAAGCCCCGGCUAACUACGUGCCAGCAGCCGCGGUAAUACGUAGGGGGCAAGCGUUAUCCGGAUUUACUGGGUGUAAAGGGAGCGUAGACGGCCGCGCAAGUCUGGAGUGAAAUCCCAUGGCUUAACCAUGGAACUGCUUUGGAAACUGUGCAGCUAGAGUGCAGGAGAGGUAAGCGGAAUUCCUAGUGUAGCGGUGAAAUGCGUAGAUAUUAGGAGGAACACCAGUGGCGAAGGCGGCUUACUGGACUGUAACUGACGUUGAGGCUCGAAAGCGUGGGGAGCAAACAGGAUUAGAUACCCGGGUAGUC
RNAcentral lists this ribosomal RNA (440 nucleotides) under uncultured bacterium. Its description in RNAcentral is "partial 16S ribosomal RNA". It matches the Rfam family "Bacterial small subunit ribosomal RNA", at positions 338 to 795 of the family's 1533-position model. The record is from RNAcentral.